GAUGAAGAACGCAGCGAAAUGCAAUACGUAAUGUGAAUUGCAGAAUUCAGUGAAUCAUCGAGUCUUUGAACGCACAUUGCGCCCCCUGGUAUUCCGGGGGGCAUGCCUGUCCGAGCGUCAUUGCAGCCCUCAAGCACGGCUUGUGUGUUGGGCCUCCGUCCUCCUCCCGGGGGACGGGCCCGAAAGGCAGCGGCGGCACCGCGUCCGGUCCUCGAGCGUAUGGGGCUUCGUCACCCGCUCUUGUAGGCCCGGCCGGCGCUUGCCGACACAUCAAUCUUUUUUCCAGGUUGACCUCGGAUCAGGUAGGGAUACCCGCUGAACUUAAGCAUAUCAAUAAGCGGAGGA
Molecule: unclassified non-coding RNA, 345 nt
Filed under: soil metagenome
Description: partial contains 5.8S ribosomal RNA, internal transcribed spacer 2, and large subunit ribosomal RNA
Rfam family: 5.8S ribosomal RNA (bases 1-120)
Source: RNAcentral